GUGACUGCGUACCUUUUGUAUAAUGGGUCAGCGACUUAUAUUCUGUAGCAAGGUUAACCGAAUAGGGGAGCCGAAGGGAAACCGAGUCUUAACUGGGCGUUAAGUUGCAGGGUAUAGACCCGAAACCCGGUGAUCUAGCCAUGGGCAGGUUGAAGGUUGGGUAACACUAACUGGAGGACCGAACCGACUAAUGUUGAAAAAUUAGCGGAUGACUUGUGGCUGGGGGUGAAAGGCCAAUCAAACCGGGAGAUAGCUGGUUCUCCCCGAAAGCUAUUUAGGUAGCGCCUCGUGAAUUCAUCUCCGGGGGUAGAGCACUGUUUCGGCAAGGGGGUCAUCCCGACUUACCAACCCGAUGCAAACUGCGAAUACCGGAGAAUGUUAUCACGGGAGACACACGGCGGGUGCUAACGUCCGUCGUGAAGAGGGAAACAACCCAGACCGCCAGCUAAGGUCCCAAAGUCAUGGUUAAGUGGGAAACGAUGUGGGAAGGCCCAGACAGCCAGGAUGUUGGCUUAGAAGCAGCCAUCAUUUAAAGAAAGCGUAAUAGCUCACUGGUCGAGUCGGCCUGCGCGGAAGAUGUAACGGGGCUAAACCAUGCACCGAAGCUGCGGCAGCGACACUAUGUGUUGUUGGGUAGGGGAGCGUUCUGUAAGCCUGUGAAGGUGGCCUGUGAGGGUUGCUGGAGGUAUCAGAAGUGCGAAUGCUGACAUAAGUAACGAUAAAGCGGGUGAAAAGCCCGCUCGCCGGAAGACCAAGGGUUCCUGUCCAACGUUAAUCGGGGCAGGGUGAGUCGACCCCUAAGGCGAGGCCGAAAGGCGUAGUCGAUGGGAAACAGGUUAAUAUUCCUGUACUUGGUGUUACUGCGAAGGGGGGACGGAGAAGGCUAUGUUGGCCGGGCGACGGUUGUCCCGGUUUAAGCGUGUAGGCUGAUUUUCCAGGCAAAUCCGGAAAAUCAAGGCUGAGGCGUGAUGACGAGGCACUACGGUGCUGAAGCAACAAAUGCCCUGCUUCCAGGAAAAGCCUCUAAGCAUCAGGUAACAUCAAAUCGUACCCCAAACCGACACAGGUGGUCAGGUAGAGAAUACCAAGGCGCUUGAGAGAACUCGGGUGAAGGAACUAGGCAAAAUGGUGCCGUAACUUCGGGAGAAGGCACGCUGAUAUGUAGGUGAAGCGACUUGCUCGUGGAGCUGAAAUCAGUCGAAGAUACCAGCUGGCUGCAACUGUUUAUUAAAAACACAGCACUGUGCAAACACGAAAGUGGACGUAUACGGUGUGACGCCUGCCCGGUGCCGGAAGGUUAAUUGAUGGGGUUAGCGGUAACGCGAAGCUCUUGAUCGAAGCCCCGGUAAACGGCGGCCGUAACUAUAACGGUCCUAAGGUAGCGAAAUUCCUUGUCGGGUAAGUUCCGACCUGCACGAAUGGCGUAAUGAUGGCCAGGCUGUCUCCACCCGAGACUCAGUGAAAUUGAACUCGCUGUGAAGAUGCAGUGUACCCGCGGCAAGACGGAAAGACCCCGUGAACCUUUACUAUAGCUUGACACUGAACAUUGAGCCUUGAUGUGUAGGAUAGGUGGGAGGCUUUGAAGUGUGGACGCCAGUCUGCAUGGAGCCGACCUUGAAAUACCACCCUUUAAUGUUUGAUGUUCUAACGUUGGCCCGUUAUCCGGGUUGCGGACAGUGUCUGGUGGGUAGUUUGACUGGGGCGGUCUCCUCCUAAAGAGUAACGGAGGAGCACGAAGGUUGGCUAAUCCUGGUCGGACAUCAGGAGGUUAGUGCAAUGGCAUAAGCCAGCUUGACUGCGAGCGUGACGGCGCGAGCAGGUGCGAAAGCAGGUCAUAGUGAUCCGGUGGUUCUGAAUGGAAGGGCCAUCGCUCAACGGAUAAAAGGUACUCCGGGGAUAACAGGCUGAUACCGCCCAAGAGUUCAUAUCGACGGCGGUGUUUGGCACCUCGAUGU
Molecule: ribosomal RNA, 1955 nt
Filed under: Escherichia coli LAU-EC4
Lineage: Bacteria; Pseudomonadati; Pseudomonadota; Gammaproteobacteria; Enterobacterales; Enterobacteriaceae
Description: bacterial LSU rRNA
Rfam family: Bacterial large subunit ribosomal RNA
Source: RNAcentral